This 258-nucleotide ribosomal RNA is filed under the name uncultured bacterium. RNAcentral describes it as "partial 16S ribosomal RNA". It matches the Rfam family "Bacterial small subunit ribosomal RNA", at positions 524 to 777 of the family's 1533-position model. The record is from RNAcentral.
UACGAAGGGUGCAAGGCGUUACUCGGAAUUACUGGGCGUAAAGGCGUGACGUAGGUGGUCGUUUAAGUCUGUUGUGAAAGCCCUGGGCUCGAACCUGGGAACUGCAGUGGAAACUGGACGACUAGAGUGUGGUAGAGGGCAGCGGAAUUCCCGGUGUAGCAGUGAAAUGCGUAGAGAUCGGGAGGAACAUCCAUGGCGAAGGCAGCUACCUGGACCAACACUGACACUGAGGCACGAAAGCGUGGGGAGCAAACAGGG